AGUCGUUCUGCCCAUUGUAUUUAAAAGGCUGCAGUAUAUUAACUGUACAAAGGUAGCAUAAUAAAUAGUUUUUUAAUUGAAAACUUGAAUGAAUGAAUUGAUAAAAUAUAAUUUGUCUCUAAAAUUGAAAUUAAAUUGAAAGUAAAAAUGCUUUUAUAUAAUUAUUAGACGAUAAGACCCUAAGAAUUUUAAUUUAUUAAAUAAUUUUUAAUUUUAAUGUAAUUAAAUAAUUUUUAUUGGGAGGAUAAUUAAAUAAAACUUUAAUUAUAAUAAAUAAUUUAAUUAAAUUUAAUGAUUAUUAUUAUAAUUAUAAGGAGAAAUUACCUUAGGGAUAACAGCGUAAUAAUUUUGGAUAGUUCAUAUUGAUAAAAUUGAUUGCGACCUCGAUGUUGAAUUAAAAUAAAAUUUAAAUGGAGAUAUUUAAUUUUUAGUCUGUCGACUAUUAAAAUUUUAC
RNAcentral lists this ribosomal RNA (454 nucleotides) under Parachartergus flavofasciatus. RNAcentral's name for it is "partial large subunit ribosomal RNA". The record is from RNAcentral. Lineage: Eukaryota; Metazoa; Arthropoda; Insecta; Hymenoptera; Vespidae.